CCUACGGGCGGCUGCAGUGGGGAAUAUUGGACAAUGGGGGGAACCCUGAUCCAGCCAUGCCGCGUGUGUGAAGAAGGCCCUCGGGUUGUAAAGCACUUUCAGUGAGGAAGAACGCCUGGUGGUUAAUACCCAUCAGGAAAGACAUCACUCACAGAAGAAGCACCGGCUAACUCCGUGCCAGCAGCCGCGGUAAUACGGAGGGUGCGAGCGUUAAUCGGAAUUACUGGGCGUAAAGCGCGCGUAGGUGGCUUGAUAAGCCGGUUGUGAAAGCCCCGGGCUCAACCUGGGAACGGCAUCCGGAACUGUCAAGCUAGAGUGCAGGAGAGGAAGGUAGAAUUCCCGGUGUAGCGGUGAAAUGCGUAGAGAUCGGGAGGAAUACCAGUGGCGAAGGCGGCCUUCUGGACUGACACUGACACUGAGGCGCGAAAGCGUGGGUAGCAAACAGGAUUAGAUACCCUUGUAGUC
This 465-nucleotide ribosomal RNA is filed under the name Vreelandella stevensii. RNAcentral's name for it is "partial 16S ribosomal RNA". It matches the Rfam family "Bacterial small subunit ribosomal RNA", at positions 338 to 795 of the family's 1533-position model. The record is from RNAcentral. Lineage: Bacteria; Pseudomonadati; Pseudomonadota; Gammaproteobacteria; Oceanospirillales; Halomonadaceae.